AUCUACGGCCAUACCACCCUGAACGCUCAAGCUCUUCUUAUCUCUGGAGCUAAGCAGGGUCGGGCCUGGUUAGUACUUGGAUGGGAGAAGUUGCUUACUGUCAUGGAGUCAUGGGAGGUGAAAAUU
RNAcentral lists this ribosomal RNA (126 nucleotides) under Microtus ochrogaster (prairie vole). Lineage: Eukaryota; Metazoa; Chordata; Mammalia; Rodentia; Cricetidae. The record is from RNAcentral.